ACGAACGCUGGCGGCGUGCUUAACACAUGCAAGUCGAGCGGUAAGGCCCUUUCGGGGUACGACGAGCGGCGAACGGGUAGAGUAACACGUGGGUGACCUCGCCCUCCAGCUCUGGGAGUAAGCCGUCGGGAAACCGGGGUACUAAUACUGGAUAUGACUCCAUGACGCAUGUUGUGGGGUGGAAAGCCUUGUGCGGCUGAGGA
This 203-nucleotide ribosomal RNA is filed under the name uncultured bacterium. Its description in RNAcentral is "partial 16S ribosomal RNA". It matches the Rfam family "Bacterial small subunit ribosomal RNA", at positions 29 to 225 of the family's 1533-position model. The record is from RNAcentral.